RNAcentral lists this ribosomal RNA (381 nucleotides) under uncultured eukaryote. RNAcentral's name for it is "partial 18S ribosomal RNA". It matches the Rfam family "Eukaryotic small subunit ribosomal RNA", at positions 592 to 976 of the family's 1831-position model. The record is from RNAcentral.
CAAUAGCGUAUAUUAAAGUUGUUGCGGUAAAAAAGCUCGUAGUUGGAUUUCUACCGAAGAUAGCCGGUCGGGUCUUCGACCUUGUAUCUGGUUUUGUCUUUGGUAUCCUCAUAGGGAACGUUUCUGCGCUUUAUUGCGUGGUGCGGUAUCUAUGACUUUUACUUUGAGGAAAUUAGAGUGUUCACGGCAGGCAAACGCCUUGAAUAUAUUAGCAUGGAAUAAUAACAUAGGAUCUUCGUCCUAUUUUGUUGGUUUCUAGGGCUAAGAUAAUGAUUAAUAGGGAUAAUUGGGGGCAUCUGUAUCAACGCGUCAGAGGCGGAAUUCUUGGAUUGCGUUGCGACAAACUACUGCGAAAGCAUUUGCCAAGGAUGUUUUCAUUGA